AUGAAGACAGCCUCGCCAAGAUUUUGCUCAAAAGUCCAAGGUUCAACCCCAAAUUCCUCUUUCAGCUUCUUUUUGUGCUCAACAGUCAAGUAGAAUGACUGGUCAUGAAUAGGAUGAGCCACCUGCUCCACCGGACAGCAAAAGAGAUGCCUAAACUCUCUACAAUGUUUAUUAAGGUAUUCCUGAAGCUUAGGGACAUCUUCCCUUCGAAAAAUAUCCCAUAGAGCGCCACCUUUUGGCCUUUCUUGGUCUAUUAUAUCAUCAGAUACAGAUAUUUCAGGACACAGAUUUUCUUUUAUAUCCUGAACUCUGUGCAACUUUUUCAGCUUUGUUACCGCAGAGAACUGAGCGGCAGAAAGGGUUACUUCUGUCGUGUGUGUCAAGAUAUUCACGGCAUCA
This 399-nucleotide unclassified non-coding RNA is filed under the name Hevea brasiliensis (rubber tree). The record is from RNAcentral. Lineage: Eukaryota; Viridiplantae; Streptophyta; Magnoliopsida; Malpighiales; Euphorbiaceae.